Molecule: long non-coding RNA, 184 nt
Organism: Sapajus apella (tufted capuchin)
Lineage: Eukaryota; Metazoa; Chordata; Mammalia; Primates; Cebidae
Exons: 2
Source: RefSeq, a predicted model, not a curated record
CUCAAUGAAAUAAAACGAGAAGGCAAGAAUAGAGAAAAAAGGAAAAAGGGUAAAAAGGAAUGAACAAAGUCUCCAAGAAAUAUCGGACUAUGAAAAAAGACCCAAUCUACAUAUGACAGGUGUACCUGAAUGUGAUGGAGAGAAUGAAUCCAAGCUGGAAAAUACUCUUCAGGAUACUAUCCAG